This 279-nucleotide ribosomal RNA is filed under the name uncultured bacterium. RNAcentral describes it as "partial 16S ribosomal RNA". It matches the Rfam family "Bacterial small subunit ribosomal RNA", at positions 506 to 784 of the family's 1533-position model. The record is from RNAcentral.
UGCCAGCCGCCGCGGUAACACGUACUGUGCGAACGUUAUUCGGAAUCACUGGGCUUAAAGGGUACGUAGGCGGUUAAUCAAGUCAGGUGUGAAAUGCCUGAGCUCAACUGAGGCACUGCGCUUGAAACUGAUUAACUUGAGUGUUCCAGGGGUAUGCGGAACUGCCAGUGGAGCGGUGAAAUGCGUUGAUAUUGGCAGGAACACCAGUGGCGAAGGCGGCAUACUGGGGGACAACUGACGCUGAGGUACGAAAGCCAGGGUAGCGAACGGGAUUAGAUA